This is a long non-coding RNA of Salvia splendens (bonfire salvia), 917 nucleotides long. RefSeq lists it as uncharacterized. NCBI's taxonomy places the organism in Eukaryota, Viridiplantae, Streptophyta, Magnoliopsida, Lamiales, Lamiaceae. The transcript is spliced from 4 exons. The record is from RefSeq and is a predicted model, not a curated record.
UCAUCCAUUGAUUAAGUUUUCUCAUAUUCACUCUCCAAAACUUCUUCAUCUCGGUUUUUCAUUUCUUGUUCAUUUUCAUUCUAUUGCUUGUUAUCCAACAGAGGGAAGGGAGAGUGAACUCAAUACAAUUUGAGCUCGCGUUCGAAAUUUUGGGUCCGAAUUUUCUUGAGUUGGUCUGAAGAAGAAAGAAAAUCACAGGCACACUGGUGCUCAUAACCGAAGAAAUUAUCCAACAGUUUGAAGUCCUCAUGGAAAAAGUUGAUGAGCUAUUGAAGAAACCUUUCCAGUUAUUGUCGGCAAUAUCCACCAUCGAUGACCUGAGCUACCCUGAGAAAACGGGAACUUAAUACAUAGUCAACGCUCCAUAUAUAUUCUCAGCAUGUUGGAAGAUUAUGGACUAUGAAUCUCUCCCACAGUUUUGUAGAAAAGAAGGCUCGGGCUCAUCUCGAGUUGAUGGAGAAGUUAGUGAUUGUUUUUCCUUGAAUCACCCCUUCCAUCAGCAGCUCUAUAACUAUGUGAAGGAGCAAGCUGCACGAGUUGGCCUCACUACGCCACUGAGACACGGUUCGUUCCAUGUGGAUUGUCCAGUGCCUGAUCCAGCUGAUGUAAAAAUUGCUGAAACUAUAGAAUGCGAGCUUCAAAGACUGGGGAAUCAAAAUGGCCUUUCCCACUCGUCAUCAUGCGAGCUUAAGGUAAACGGUGACUGAAUUUGGCGCAACCACACUACUGUUAGUAGCUGAAGCCUUGGAUCGUCAUAGAAUUUUGGCAUUGUCUCGAAUUCGAUCAUUCGAUGCAGUUCUUUUGGGGGGCUGAGCUUCCCAUCAUCAGGUCAGUGUAAUGCUGCAAUAUUUGAAAAUGCAGAGUUCGAUGAUUUUGUUGUGUAGUGUAUUGUUGUAUUGGAGUGGAUAUAAUAUGGU